GAUCAGUAGCCGUGAUAUAUUUCUUGGCCAUUCAAAGCAUAAUUUAAAGAACUAUGGAAUAUUGAAGCAGUUUUGUCGCAUGUGGUUUAUAUAGGGAACAAAGUUGUCCACACGUUCAUCACUGAAAAUGAAAUGCGUUUUGUUCCUGUAUUCUGAAAGCGACAGCGCUAAAGCUGAACAGCUUAAGGAUUACUUGCAAGGCAAGCUGCGAAAAGUGGCAGAUCUACGAAAUAUCACCGACAUUCUGGCAGAGGAACAGGAUUUUAAGAAAGAACUUUCUAGCAGCAGCUGUGUUGUGUUGACAGGAUCUCGUCACGCAUCGUCUCUUAUUUAAAACGAACUCCAAGAAAUCGAAGAUGAUUUUAUCACUUUCGACGGUAAAGUGAUACAUGACGAGUUCACAGGAAGCAAAGAACUCGUGGACAGAUUGGUGAUAGUUUUCUUCACCGAGAGAACCAAGAAUGAUUGGAUUCCGACUGGCUUGGAUGAAAGAAGAAUAUUUAACCUGCAAGGUGAAGAAAUUCAGAGAGGAAAUCCUUCGCUGGACCAUCUUGAAGAUUGCAUUAAGGGAAUUUUGACUGGCAAAACUCGCGUGUAAUUUUUGAGACAGGAAUAUGAGAUAUUGUAAUGUCUCAUAUAUUUCAAGGAGCUGAGAGCCGAUUAGCUAAGACUGAGGUAGACUUUUAGAACCAAACCAUAUCUGUAAGAAAAGGUUUUAGUAAUAAACAGCGGCCCUGUGUGUUAAGUUGAA
This is a long non-coding RNA of Stylophora pistillata, 751 nucleotides long. The record is from RefSeq and is a predicted model, not a curated record. Lineage: Eukaryota; Metazoa; Cnidaria; Anthozoa; Scleractinia; Pocilloporidae.